RNAcentral lists this ribosomal RNA (253 nucleotides) under uncultured bacterium. RNAcentral's name for it is "partial 16S ribosomal RNA". It matches the Rfam family "Bacterial small subunit ribosomal RNA", at positions 524 to 776 of the family's 1533-position model. The record is from RNAcentral.
UACGAACCGGACGAACGUUAUUCGGAAUUAUUGGGCUUAAAGGGUGCGUAGGCGGCGCGGUAAGUGAGGUGUGAAAGCCCACGGCUCAACCGUGGAACUGCGCUUCAUACUGCCGUGUUUGAGGGAGACAGAGGUAAGCGGAACUGAUGGUGGAGCGGUGAAAUGCGUUGAUAUCAUCAGGAACACCGGUGGCGAAAGCGGCUUACUGGGUCUCUUCUGACGCUGAGGCACGAAAGCUACGGUAGCGAACGGG